GGGUCAGUAGGUUGGUCGUGCCACCGGUACGUACUGGUCUCACUGACUCCUCCUUCCUGAAGAACCGUAAUGCCAUUAAUUUGGUGUUGCGGGGAGACAGGACUGUUACUUUGAAAAAAUUAGAGUGUUUAAAGCAAGCUAACGCUUGAAUACAUUAGCAUGGAAUAAUGAAAUAGGACGAUCGAUCCUAUUUUGUUGGUUUCUAGGAUUGACGUA
RNAcentral lists this ribosomal RNA (216 nucleotides) under Glomeromycotina sp. Its description in RNAcentral is "partial small subunit ribosomal RNA". The stretch from base 75 to 216 matches the Rfam family "Eukaryotic small subunit ribosomal RNA", at positions 721 to 864 of the family's 1831-position model. The record is from RNAcentral. Lineage: Eukaryota; Fungi; Glomeromycota.